GAUCGGAGUGGGACGAACAAUCUACAAACUAAUAAUCUGAAAUACUGUAGAUAGUACAACCUAAAAGAUCUCUGUUCUGGUGAGACAAAAGGCUGAGAAAUGAAUACUGUGGCCCCAGCAGCCACUACACCACACUUCACUACACUACACUACACUACACAGACUCUGACGUCACCAGUACAUCAGUACCUGCCGCUGUAGGUACACUGGCAUUGCUUUGAAUUGGCAGAAUGAAAUAUAGACAUGUCAUUUAUCUGUGUUUAUCAACAAUGCUUCAAUCUGACCUGCUGCUAAACUCUAACAGACACAAAGUCAGUAGUAACCAAAGCUGUAUAUUUUGCAGAAAGCUGAAUAAAUAUUUUAGUUAGAACUCAUUUAUUUGUAAUAUAAACCGCAUCAUUAGCGCAUGAUCUGGCAGAGAGUGGUAAUAAUAAGGACAACACGUAUAAUUGCAUGCAUAGCAAUACAAACAAACACACUGGCGCAAAGAUACUGUAAAUUAGAGAGAGAGGAGACGAAAAAGAGUUACAGUACAGAUGGCAAUUGUUCAACUGGGUUGCAGACUGGGACACUGAGAACAAAGGCGGUCUCAGCACAGAUUCUGCUCUGGGAGUUCACACUGUAAAAGGGAAGGGACGGCUACUGUUUCCUUUCCCUCCAUUACCCAGAGGUCUUAAUUAGUUUAGGUUAAUCAUGCACUGCUGUAAUUGACUACUGUUGUUUCUCCUUUUCAUCUAUCAUUUCAUUGCCUGGAACCAACCUGUAGUGGGGCACCUCAUUUCACGUAACAGCUCUGAUACACCCCAAUUCCCUAAUAUGAUUGUUUUAUCACUGCCUCCAUCCUUCUCUGUCUCCUUUUUUCUUGUUUUCUGUCUUUAAUCUCUGUUUCCCAGACUUCUUUGUAUCUUUUUUUUUUUUUCCACAGAAAACAACUCACACAAAAAUACACCCACAUAUACACAGUUCAGGGCAUCAGAGGCUGAAAGUUCAUGGUACCAAGCACAAAGCAAAGGGAUCAGUAAGUUGGGGGGCAGUGAAUAUGUGAAAUGGAUCCCUUUAAUCAUUCAAAAAUAAUUAAUUUGUAAAGUCAGAAUAAACAAACACAGCCUGAGGAUUUCUUUUUUUUUUUUUUUUUUUUGCGGCUACAUGGUAAAGGCUUUCUUUGUGCCCAAUCAAGGUUUGGCAUUUUCAACCAUGUAGGCUGAACAUUAUCUCAUCUUACUGUUUCAAGCUACAUUUGACUGUAACUGCAACUUUUUCAACCUGUUGGGAUUUUCUUUUCCCUCAGUCAGUCCUGUAACACCGCCAACGCCCCUGCUGUGUUGUGACUUUUCUUCAGUUUUGUUCGCAUUUCUUUCACUCACUUCCCUGUGUGUAAUAACCCCAGUAAAUAGUCAGCCAUCAAACAUUAAUUAAAGGUUUUGUGUGCACAAAGAAAUUGAGAGUUAUUUUAAAAUUUGGGAUUUGUGUAUUGUACAAACAGCAACUUUAAUUGUAAAAGCAACUUUUGGAUCUGUUCAGGCAAAUGAACAUUUCAGACAGUGUUUUCCACUUCUGAUUCUGAUUGGUCUCGUUUGUAGCAGGCUAACUGCUAAUCAGGGCUAUGCUAAUAUAAUGGUAUUAAUACUAACCAUCUUAAUAGAAAUAUCAAAUAAUAAUAAUAUCAUACAAAAAAUAUGUAAUAGUAACACAAUGAGUUCAUGGUUAAUGUCCUCUCAGCUGAUUGGCACAUAUCAUAAAACAGGAGAGACAAAGAAGAGGCAGCAGACCGCCAGUGGACUGGCUUAAAGCAGCCCUCUAUGAGAUAAUUAAAAAAACUAUAAGUCCCUGAUUUUUGUUAAUCCAAAUUGAUAUUAGUGACUGUGCCUCUUCAGGUUACCAAUUAAAUUAUUAUACUAUCUAAUCAUUUUAAUCUGUUUUCACACAGUUUCAUAACUUACAGGCUUCUGGGAGUAGAUUCAACUUCAAACUAAAAGCAUAGUUGUACAAUGUGGGAAAUAAAGACAGAAAAACACACAACAGGAAAUAUCAAAACACAGUAAUGCCAAAUAGUGGUUUUAUGGGAUAUUGUUUUCUCUUCAGAAUACCAGUAACGCAGCCUGUGAUGUGGAUAAAUCAUACAUUUGAAUAUAGUUAAAAUAAUAACUAUAUUGAUCCUGAAAGGAAAUUCAAUUGUCUGUCGUCUCAUUUGUCAUGUCUCUAAUAGCCAUGUCAUGAUUGAUGACAUGCAAGUAACUGGUUUGUUUUAAAAUUUAUGUUUUCCACAAGUAUCACAAUAACAGUUUUAUUGUCAAAUGUUAUGGCAACAAUAAUCGUGACCUUAAAGCCUGAUAUUGUGACAGCCCAGUCAUGCAGUGGACAGUCUAUGUUAUGAACAUGCCUCUAGUUUGAUUUUUGAUGCAGCAUUUUGAUCCAAAACAAUUUGUUUUUUUAUAUUUAAAAUUUUUACCUCUGUUGUUUGGCAAACUUGUUCUGAGAGAAAAGAAAACAGGAACUGUCAUGAUCAUCGGUCAAUUUUAUUAUUUUUUUUCCUUUAUUCCAUUUCAUGUCUUAUGUUUCCUGUUUGCUUUAUUUUGAAACCCCCACCCCUGUCCGCCCUUCCCUCCUGUCAUCACAGCUGCUCCCUGGUCCUCUCCUCUGAAUCUGUAUCCCAUCACCUCUUUUCUUUCCCUGUCUUGGCACCAGUUUGCUGUCUUUAUGGUACAUUCUGGCAUUCAUCGAGUUACUCAUGUUCAUGAUCUCGACCUUGCUAUUUUUUGGACUCUGCCUUUUUCGCCUCAUGUUUUAGAUACCUCUGCCUCUGUUAUUUAUCUCACUAUGCAUUAAACCCUAGACUGGAAAUAAACCAGAUUUUUGCCAUAGAGGACUGGUUAUUUGUGUGUUCUGCCAUUGACUUCUCUUUUGUUAGCCUGUUCAUGACAGGAACUCCUCUCCCUGGAUUUAUUUGAUGUUAAGUGUGUGAUUUGGUUGUCUCUAGCAAUUAAUUACCAUUGUCUUGGGGUUUUGGCCAAUCAGAAUCAAAUUUUUUCAAACAGCAUGAUAAUUAGUAAGAAAACCGGAUAUUCAUCAGGGAUGAGACCUCUGUAGUUUGUAUCUUAUUCACAAAGAAAUGCCUUGUGCUCAGCUAUACAGUGUAAUGCUGGCACACUUCUUUUUAUAACAUUUUUAAUUAUCUUUAAUCAAUAAAUCUUUACUUAUACAGCACAAAAUCACAACAGUCUUUAUCCCACGAUGAUUUCCAAAAGAGCAGGUCAAGUCCAAACUUUAAAACAAAGUAAACAGUUGCCAUGUAAACAGUUGGCUUAUGGCACCGGAAGUAGGGGAUAAAAAUAUUAAAAAAUAUAUAUACAAUCAAAUGUAAAAAUAUUGUUUUUGAGAUGCUUCUUCGAAAAAUGAGUAUUUGUGGGCAGUUGGGUCAAUUGCAACUUUGGAAUACGAAGUCAGUAUUGGGCUUUUAACUCAAACAUUUACAGUACUUUCUUAUCGUCAUACAUUUUAUUCUAUUAACAACUUUUGUGCAUGUGCAUGUUGUUGAGACUGUGAUUGAUUUGUCCAUCUUCUCUAAUUUAGAGCCAACUUAAGAGCAUUAAGUAACAAUCCACAUCCGCAUAUUCAGCACUCCUCAAACAGUCAGAAUUUAUGCUUUGAAUUUUUUUCUGCUCUUAUCUACAAAAGUCUUGUUUGGCAUGUUGUCAGACAAUCACUCGCUGGAGAUGUUCACAGUAAUAAAAAGCACAGCUCAGUGUUUACUUGCUCCCAUGCAUAGACUAAUUAAGAAAAACAUGUUUAAAAAAAAAAAAAAGACAAAGCACAGCACUGAGCUAACGUCCUGCUUUCAAUUUCUCUUUUCUAUUCUUGAUAUUAGAUUCCAAUUUCCGGGUAAUUCAUGCAUUGGUCAUAUAGUCCUUACUCCUCUGAUGAAAAACACACUCUUAGGGUUCGUACAUAUGAAAUUCAAAGUGAAUUAUUAAGUGCUUCCUCAAUAAUUCAAAGCUCAACACAACAACAAAAACAGAAUGAUCAAAAGUUCUCUAGCUUUGGCAAACACAACUUUGUAAAACACGUGUGCUUUUGAUGAAAUGGUGGUUCUUAUAAUGGUGGGUAAUACCAUUUCUAUGCUGAUUUCAGAUUGCUUUUGAGUCACAUAGUAGGGCAGCAAUAUACAGUAUAGGUAAGGUUUUUGCUAUGUAGUGGUCUUUAGUUUCUUGAUUUUUACAGAAUGGAAGGUUGGUGGUUCGAUCUUGAGCCCUGCAUGGGACCGGCUAUCGAAUCCCACUUCUGCCUGCUCCUGCUAGAUUAGCACGACCAUUAUAGCGCACAUCAACUGUGUAUGAUCCACUCCAGCCACACCUGCACAAAUUCUGAUCACAUAUGUGCAUUCAUAAUAACAGACAAGUAUUGUAUUCAAAAUAACUUUAAACAAAAAACCUGUAACCAAGGUUUGUAUCAUGCAACAGACGCAAUAAAAUGAACACAGUGGUUAGUUAUGGACUUGACAUUUAAGGUGGCCUGGCUGCAGUAUUUUUUACUUCCUGCCCCAACAUCGUUUGCCUUCUAGUUUAACACUUAUCCACAUGGUUUCACAUGCCUUACAAAACAAUGAUGUCAUGCCUUUUAAAAAACGUUUAGCAGGAACAAGAGGAGGUAGUCAAGGUGGAAAAGAGUAGACAAAGUUUGGUUUAGUUUUGCACAAAUCAGUGCUAAUAGUUCUAAAUGCAACGGUGGUGUGAUUUUAACUAAGGGUGGAAAUACCAGCAACAUGCUCAAUGGUUAAUUUGUCAAUGCAACACAAAACUGAAUAUCAAGAGUGCCAGGUAUAUGACGCUCUAUGCUGUCAGAGUGCUUCUCUGUUUACAUUUGUACAGAG
This is a non-coding RNA of Xyrichtys novacula (pearly razorfish), 4867 nucleotides long. The record is from the annotation of a GenBank genome assembly. NCBI's taxonomy places the organism in Eukaryota, Metazoa, Chordata, Actinopteri, Labriformes, Labridae.